GUUAAAGCAGAACUAAGUAACUUUUUUUACCUUAACUGAACAGCUUUGGAGUCAUUGUAAUGUUAAUAUUACUGAUUUCGUGUUGAAUGGUGAUCAUCUCGCACCCCCCUGGUGCCUGUAAGCCGCAAAACCACCCUUGCAACUUUAGGCCGGCGGCUCGCCGGCCUCAGUGUUAGGAAGUAUCGUGAGAUUUCAGGUCUCGCGAGGUAACGAAUUGCUUUACGGCACUAUACGCGCACACGCAUGCGUACACGUCCCCAUCCAUCCAGGAGCCGGCUAGCUAUAAGAAAAAGGUAACGCUAGAUAUUGAAUUCUUCACGUUUUCGUGAUGGCUGAUGUAAAAGAAGAAGAAGAAAGCUCGGAAGUGUUUAUCAGAGGAACAAAGAAAGAGAAAACGGACCGGCUUUUUCAGAAUAGAGAGAACUGAAAGAAAGUGAAGCCUGCAAAACCGAUGCUGACCUGGCCUUCUUGCUGUUGCACUUCUACAAGCGUUGGCAAGUGUUAUCAACUCCGAGGCACCCCAGACCACCAGUACCACCGGUCUCAAGCUUCAAUAAUAAAAUAAACAAUCUUGUAAUAAACAAA
Pimephales promelas (fathead minnow) is the source of this 585-nucleotide non-coding RNA. The record is from RefSeq and is a predicted model, not a curated record. Lineage: Eukaryota; Metazoa; Chordata; Actinopteri; Cypriniformes; Leuciscidae.